Long non-coding RNA from Passer domesticus (house sparrow), 507 nucleotides. RefSeq lists it as uncharacterized. The transcript is spliced from 2 exons. The record is from RefSeq and is a predicted model, not a curated record. NCBI's taxonomy places the organism in Eukaryota, Metazoa, Chordata, Aves, Passeriformes, Passeridae.
CACUAUGAGAAAGAAAAAAAGAGAAGGCGAAUGAGAAUUAAUUCUUUCCCAGUUCAGCAUGGGCUUGUCCUGCUGAGCUCCAGCAGGCUGGAUACCCUGCCUGCCACACGAGUCUCACUCAGAGGAUGUGUUUCUUCACAGCACAUGGACCCUGUGCACCUACCAUGGGGUUAGCAUGUUGAGCCAAAUUCCAAGGGGACUCUGAGGGAUAAAUGUGCAAGAGUGAGAUUUGUCCCUGCCUCUGAUCAACCGUAUGGAAGUAAUUCUUAGGAUCUUUGUAAGCCUGCACCUUAGAAACCAAGCACCAUGGGAAUCAACUGUGGAUUACUAAAAUCAAAAACAACGUUCUGAUAAGCAAAACACACUUGCAGUUUGUCAUUCCUUGAUCAUAUUGACAGAUUCCUAAGCUGGCAGGACAAACGCCUGGCAGACCUCACGGAGAAGGCAGAUCCAAAGUGCUGCUUCUCCAACACGGUACUUCACAUCUUGAUUAAUUCCUUUUGCAGG